RNAcentral lists this ribosomal RNA (435 nucleotides) under uncultured Adlercreutzia sp. RNAcentral's name for it is "partial 16S ribosomal RNA". It matches the Rfam family "Bacterial small subunit ribosomal RNA", at positions 341 to 792 of the family's 1533-position model. Lineage: Bacteria; Bacillati; Actinomycetota; Coriobacteriia; Eggerthellales; Eggerthellaceae. The record is from RNAcentral.
ACGGGAGGCAGCAGUGGGGAAUAUUGCACAAUGGGCGCAAGCCUGAUGCAGCAACGCCGCGUGAGGGAAGACGGUUUUCGGAUUGUAAACCUCUGUCUUUGGUGACGAAGAAGUGACGGUAGCCAAGGAGGAAGCCACGGCUAACUACGUGCCAGCAGCCGCGGUAAUACGUAGGGGGCGAGCGUUAUCCGGAUUCAUUGGGCGUAAAGCGCGCGUAGGCGGCUGCCUAAGCGGAGUUUCUAAUCUUGGGGCUCAACCUCAAGCCGGACUCCGAACUGGGCGGCUCGAGUGCGGUAGGGGCAGGCGGAAUUCCACGUGUAGCGGUGAAAUGCGCAGAUAUGUGGAGGAACACCGAUGGCGAAGGCAGCCUGCUGGGCCGUCACUGACGCUGAGGCGCGAAAGCCGGGGGAGCGAACAGGAUUAGAUACCCUGGUA